GGGGUCGUCUGCUAGUCUGGUUAGGCUCUGUGCUUAGGGAGCAUAAGACCCGAGUUCAAAUCUCGGCGACCCCG
RNAcentral lists this transfer RNA (74 nucleotides) under Microcaldota archaeon. Its description in RNAcentral is "tRNA-Pro". It matches the Rfam family "tRNA". Rfam says of the family: Transfer RNA (tRNA) molecules are approximately 80 nucleotides in length. Their secondary structure includes four short double-helical elements and three loops (D, anti-codon, and T loops). Lineage: Archaea; Nanobdellati; Microcaldota. The record is from RNAcentral.